Molecule: ribosomal RNA, 205 nt
Filed under: Escherichia coli
Lineage: Bacteria; Pseudomonadati; Pseudomonadota; Gammaproteobacteria; Enterobacterales; Enterobacteriaceae
Description: partial 16S ribosomal RNA
Rfam family: Bacterial small subunit ribosomal RNA
Source: RNAcentral
UUAAAUUGAAGAGUUUGAUCAUGGCUCAGAUUGAACGCUGGCGGCAGGCCUAACACAUGCAAGUCGAACGGUAACAGGAAUCAGCUUGCUGAUUCGCUGACGAGUGGCGGACGGGUGAGUAAUGUCUGGGAAACUGCCUGAUGGAGGGGGAUAACUACUGGAAACGGUAGCUAAUACCGCAUAACGUCGCAAGACCAAAGAGGGG